AUGCUGCCCGCGCGCUUCCUCAAGCUCUCGCUGCUACGCCGCCUCGGCACCGCCCGUGCGGCCGGAGUGCCCCCGCCGUGGCAGACCAGGCAAUUUCCGGUGCGGGGUUACCAGCCUCGAGGUUAUUCUACCGGAGGAAGCUCCAAGUAUGAUAGACCGAUGAGACAGUUUGCUGAAGAGAACGAGUCAAAUUCUCAGCCACUAAUAUAUUACAUUGUCCCAUCUGCCAUUCUAGCCUUUGCUGGACUAGCCACUUAUGUUCACUAUAAUGAUGAGAAGCGUGCAGUUCCCUUAGGUAAACAAGCACAACAGAACAGUAUUCCCAAAAGGUGCACUACCAACAGACCUGCAAUCGGAGGACCAUUUAAGCUCUAUGAUACAGAAAACAAUGUGGUGACUGAAUCAAAGCUUCGAGGGAAUUGGACGCUGAUGUAUUUUGGCUAUACAUCAUCCCCAGAUGUGGGGCCGAACGAAGUUGAGAAGAUCGCUGAUGUUGUUAAGCUGUUAGAGUCAAAGUAUGAUAUCAAGAUUAAACCACUCUUCGUCACACUUGAUCCUCAACGUGAUUCACCUGCUCAGCUUAAGGCAUAUCUUAGUGAAUUCGACCCAAGAAUAACAGGAUUAACAGGCUCAGUCGAUGCAAUAAGACAGAUGGCACAAGAAUACCGCAUUUUCUUUAAAAAAGUUGGUGAAGUUGGUCAGGAUUAUAUUGUAGAAAGUUCUCAUAACAUGUAUUUGCUAGAUCCAUGCCUGGAGACAGUAAGAUGCUUUGGAGCUGAGUAUAAGGCAUCAGACCUUGCUGAGGCGAUAACAACGGAGAUCCAGAAAGCAUCUAAUUCAGCAGCGAAGUAG
Molecule: ribosomal RNA, 852 nt
Filed under: Triticum aestivum (bread wheat)
Lineage: Eukaryota; Viridiplantae; Streptophyta; Magnoliopsida; Poales; Poaceae
Description: partial small subunit ribosomal RNA
Source: RNAcentral